This 801-nucleotide unclassified non-coding RNA is filed under the name Hevea brasiliensis (rubber tree). Lineage: Eukaryota; Viridiplantae; Streptophyta; Magnoliopsida; Malpighiales; Euphorbiaceae. The record is from RNAcentral.
CAACAACAUGGGCACCAAAAAAUGAAGAUUUGAAUAAAACCCGAAUGAGAGAUACGAAAGAAAAGCCCCAGACAAGGCCGCGAAUAGGUGCUUUCCGAGUUUACCAGGGACGAGUCGAUGGAUGAAACUCACUGGAAUCGUCACCACGAAGCAGAGCAGGAACCGCAGCACAGGGAUAGAUACCCCGAUCACCGCGGACAUGGAUUCCAUGUCUAAAUCCAUAUUCAAUUCGUGUGCUGCGGUGCGUCCACUUUGGAUCGUACAGGCGAGUGAACUUGACUGGGUGGCUUCUCUGGACUCACCCAGUUAACAACCAGUUUAAGCAGGCUGCUCUCCUGGGAAGGCAGAAAACAAACCAAAAGGGAGUUAAAAGUUUCUGAGAUUUGUGCUUUUCCCAACUAUCUUCGCCUUGUGAAAUUACUGAAUUACCCUUAAAAACUGUUUGACCUUACCCGGGAGGUGAUUCUGUGUAUUGAUGCUUAUGCAGGCUUUUGCCGCGUGCACUACAAGGUUGGACCCUCUUCCCAAAUCGUGCUCUAAAAAGGUCAAAAUGAAGGACGGAAAGAUAGAAUAUAUGUGGUUUUGAUCACAGAUGAUAAACUGCAGAGAUUUUAUAUGUGGGAGGCGAUUGUUGGAAGAUCACGCCCUAUUAAGUGAGGCGGUUAUUACACAUUGCUGCCCUGCCUUGAAAUGAUCGAAGCAAACAUUACCGCGGUGUCAGAAUCGGAUCUCGGACGGUGUAUUUUGAGGAAAUUGAGCGCAAUCGAUAAUUUACGGUAUUUUCAAAGCAAUGCUCUUCUA